UUCUAGGUCGGACCGGCUGUUCCUCCUUAGAUGGUCACGUCUGGUUCUGGUUCGUGGCUGAGUUGGAUGGCCCUGAAGUUCAUCUAGCCUCUAAUGGAUUGCCUCCAAACCUGUAUUCAACAAGUUAGACAUAGAGUCAUUGAGAGCACGCAUUUGCAAGUUAGAUAAUCCGGCAUGUGAAUUUCCGGGUCGGUUUCUUUCUUCUUCACUAUCCAUGGCUACCUGAAAACUUAAACAAUGUAAAGUUAGAUUAAAAACCUCACACACUCAGGUGUUUAUCCUUACCCACACACGUGUUUUACUCAAUUUAGUAGUCACACAAGAGAGUUUCCCUCAAAGUUCUAAGAGAACAAACUAGAUAACCCAAAAUGAGAAUCCCAAGUGAAACACCCAAGAGACAAGAUAGAAAGAUAAGUGAUUUAACAAGGGGAAUCCGUAUUAACCACCUCCAAGGCCGGAUUUCUCCUCGGCCAGCGGGCUUACUCUUCCACCACCAAACCACAAUUGAAAACUUUUGAUAUCUUUUCUUUCUUUUUUUUUUUUUUGAUUAGAUCUUUCUUUUUUUUUUAAUAUAUGGAUGGUAAAGAGGGGUCCGGAUUCAAAGAUAGAUAGAAGAAGAAUUUUUUUUUUUAUGAAGAAAAUGAUAGAUGAGAAAGAUGGAAUGAAAAGAGAUACCAGAAGAGUGGCUCUGAUACCACUUGAAGAACCCUAAGGAACGAACACUCAACUGGAUCUGUUGAUAUGAACUCGAUCUGAAGAGAUAGAUAACUGAUGGAUUGUUUAGUGACACAAAGGGAUGCGGAAGACCCAAUGAUACUACUAGAACUCUCAAUGGCCGCUUGAUUUGACACACAAGUCCGGCUCAAAGAAAGGGGAUUCACUUGGAGAUAGCUUCACCAAGGGAACAAGAAUGUUCUAAUCAAAGAACAAAGAAAGAAAACUCAAAAAUGAAUAAGGAAAAUCGAUUAUCUUAUUUCAAGGAUGUGUUCUCAUACUUAUACAACUUAUAGUCAAAGAUAAUAAAUAAAAAUGUAUGAAAAAGAGACCUAGAAAAUAGAUAGAAGACCAAAUCUAGUCAAAGCACAUAAAAUAAUGUUGACUGGUCGAUUUGAACUCUUUGGCUACUCUUGUCCAGGUUUGGUGUAACUGAUAGCACGUCCCGCGAUAAUGAGC
Molecule: long non-coding RNA, 1173 nt
Filed under: Brassica rapa (field mustard)
Lineage: Eukaryota; Viridiplantae; Streptophyta; Magnoliopsida; Brassicales; Brassicaceae
Description: long non-coding RNA (BRAP_LNC004975)
Source: RNAcentral